ACACAUGCAAGUCGAACGGUAACAGGAAGCAGCUUGCUGCUUCGCUGACGAGUGGCGGACGGGUGAGUAAUGUCUGGGAAACUGCCUGAUGGAGGGGGGAUAACUACUGGAAACGGUAGCUAAUACCGCAUAACGUCGCAAGACCAAAGAGGGGGGACCUUCGGGCCUCUUGCCAUCGGAUGUGCCCAGAUGGGAUUAGCUAGUAGGUGGGGUAACGGCUCACCUAGGCGACGAUCCCUAGCUGGUCUGAGAGGAUGACCAGCCACACUGGAACUGAGACACGGUCCAGACUCCUACGGGAGGCAGCAGUGGGGAAUAUUGCACAAUGGGCGCAAGCCUGAUGCAGCCAUGCCGCGUGUAUGAAGAAGGCCUUCGGGUUGUAAAGUACUUUCAGCGGGGAGGAAGGCGAUAAGGUUAAUAACCUUGUCGAUUGACGUUACCCGCAGAAGAAGCACCGGCUAACUCCGUGCCAGCAGCCGCGGUAAUACGGAGGGUGCAAGCGUUAAUCGGAAUUACUGGGCGUAAAGCGCACGCAGGCGGUCUGUCAAGUCGGAUGUGAAAUCCCCGGGCUCAACCUGGGAACUGCAUUCGAAACUGGCAGGCUAGAGUCUUGUAGAGGGGGGUAGAAUUCCAGGUGUAGCGGUGAAAUGCGUAGAGAUCUGGAGGAAUACCGGUGGCGAAGGCGGCCCCCUGGACAAAGACUGACGCUCAGGUGCGAAAGCGU
Molecule: ribosomal RNA, 724 nt
Filed under: Enterobacter hormaechei
Lineage: Bacteria; Pseudomonadati; Pseudomonadota; Gammaproteobacteria; Enterobacterales; Enterobacteriaceae
Description: bacterial SSU rRNA
Rfam family: Bacterial small subunit ribosomal RNA
Source: RNAcentral